GUCAGGCAUGGUGGUGCAUGCCUGUAAUCCCAGUGGCCUGGGAGGCUGAGGCAGGUGGAUCGCAAGUUCAAAACUAGUCAUGGCAAUUUAGUGAGUCCCUAAGCAACUCAGUGAGACUCUGUCUGUA
Molecule: small RNA, 127 nt
Filed under: Marmota monax (woodchuck)
Lineage: Eukaryota; Metazoa; Chordata; Mammalia; Rodentia; Sciuridae
Source: RNAcentral